Molecule: ribosomal RNA, 253 nt
Filed under: uncultured bacterium
Lineage: Bacteria
Description: partial 16S ribosomal RNA
Rfam family: Bacterial small subunit ribosomal RNA
Source: RNAcentral
UACGUAGGGUGCAAGCGUUAAUCGGAAUUACUGGGCGUAAAGCGUGCGCAGGCGGUUUUGUAAGACAGAGGUGAAAUCCCCGGGCUCAACCUGGGAACUGCCUUUGUGACUGCAAGGCUUGAGUGCGGCAGAGGGGGAUGGAAUUCCGCGUGUAGCAGUGAAAUGCGUAGAUAUGCGGAGGAACACCGAUGGCGAAGGCAAUCCCCUGGGCCUGCACUGACGCUCAUGCACGAAAGCGUGGGGAGCGAACAGG